GGAAGGCUGCAGCAAAGCCAUCGGCGAUUGUUGCAGAGAGAUCGCGAGGUCCGAAGCCAGCCGCCGCUGGACGGCGGACCCCGCGAGUGGCCCCGGAGCGGCGUCCCAGUAGUCCCUUCGGGCAGCGCCGCUCUGGGGCUUC
This 142-nucleotide small RNA is filed under the name Sinorhizobium meliloti 2011. RNAcentral's name for it is "putative ncRNA". Lineage: Bacteria; Pseudomonadati; Pseudomonadota; Alphaproteobacteria; Hyphomicrobiales; Rhizobiaceae. The record is from RNAcentral.